GUGAACGCUGGCGGUAGGCCUAACACAUGCAAGUCGAACGGCAGCACCGUAAGAGCUUGCUCUUACGGGUGGCGAGUGGCGGACGGGUGAGGAAUACAUCGGAAUCUACUUUUUCGUGGGGGAUAACGUAGGGAAACUUACGCUAAUACCGCAUACGACCUACGGGUGAAAGCAGGGGAUCUUCGGACCUUGCGCGAUUGAAUGAGCCGAUGUCGGAUUAGCUAGUUGGCGGGGUAAAGGCCCACCAAGGCGACGAUCCGUAGCUGGUCUGAGAGGAUAAUCAGCCACACUGGAACUGAGACACGGUCCAGACUCCUACGGGAGGCAGCAGUGGGGAAUAUUGGACAAUGGGCGCAAGCCUGAUCCAGCCAUACCGCGUGGGUGAAGAAGGCCUUCGGGUUGUAAAGCCCUUUUGUUGGGAAAGAAAAGCAGCAGGUUAAUACCCCGCUGUUCUGACGGUACCCAAAGAAUAAGCACCGGCUAACUUCGUG
RNAcentral lists this ribosomal RNA (491 nucleotides) under uncultured bacterium. RNAcentral's name for it is "partial 16S ribosomal RNA". It matches the Rfam family "Bacterial small subunit ribosomal RNA", at positions 29 to 507 of the family's 1533-position model. The record is from RNAcentral.